GAUGAACGCUGGCGGCGUGCCUAAUACAUGCAAGUCGAGCGAACAGACGAGGAGCUUGCUCCUCUGACGUUAGCGGCGGACGGGUGAGUAACACGUGGAUAACCUACCUCUAAUACUGGGAUAACUUCGGGAAACCGGAGCUAAUACCGCAAAAUACUUCAAACGGCUGGAUUCAUUGGUAAAUCAGGUUUUUCUUGCUAUUAUUAGAUGAUCCCCGGCGAAUUAGCUAGUUGGUAAGGUAACGGCCUACCAAGGCAACGAUGCGUAGCCGAACUGAGAGGGUGAUCGGCCACACUGGAACUGAGACACGGUCCAGACUCCUACGGGAGGCAGCAGUAGGGAAUAUUCCGCAAUGGGCGAAAGCCUGACGGAGCAACGCCGCGUGAGUGAUGAAGGUCUUCGGAUCGUAAAGCUCUGUUAUUAGGGAAGAAAAAAUGUGUAAGUAACUAUGCACGUCUUGACGGUACCUAAUCAGAAAGCCACGGCUAACUACGUG
RNAcentral lists this ribosomal RNA (496 nucleotides) under uncultured bacterium. Its description in RNAcentral is "partial 16S ribosomal RNA". It matches the Rfam family "Bacterial small subunit ribosomal RNA", at positions 28 to 507 of the family's 1533-position model. The record is from RNAcentral.